CCUAAAGAACGUGCAAGAAUCACCUGAAGCACUCUCCGACCGAUUCCGAAAUCGAAACCGAUCCUGCAGACAGAACUGCAAACCUGGCCAAGAAUAAUUUAUUACACCAUCAUCAGUGUGCCUAACCUCAUCAAGACGGAAACAAUCUAACCGAACACGGGAAGCAUCGGAACCAUCACGACCUAGACACGAUAGGCAGAGGAGCAUCAAAUUCCGGCUCACCUGUAAAGAGAGUCUUGCCAGAAUCCACCGCAUUACAGGGUGAACCGACGUCGCAUCCUGGGAAGAUCAGACUUCCUGAACA
This is a long non-coding RNA of Uranotaenia lowii, 304 nucleotides long. RefSeq lists it as uncharacterized. The transcript is spliced from 3 exons. Lineage: Eukaryota; Metazoa; Arthropoda; Insecta; Diptera; Culicidae. The record is from RefSeq and is a predicted model, not a curated record.